AGAGUUUGAUCAUGGCUCAGAAUCAACGCUGGCGGCGCGCUUAACACAUGCAAGUCGACGAGAAAGGGGAGCAAUCCCUGAGUAAAGUGGCGUACGGGUGAGUAACACGUGGAUAAUCUCCUCUUGGCGGGGAAUACCCCUGGGAAACCGGGGACAAUCCGCAUAAGCUCGAGAGAGGAAACCUGAAAAGGGCCGAGAGAGGAGUCCGCGGUCGAUUAGCUAGUUGGUAGGGUAAAGGCCUACCAAGGCAAAGAUCGAUAGCCGGCCUGAGAGGGCACACGGCCACACUGGCACUGAAACACGGGCCAGACUCCUACGGGAGGCAGCAGUGGGGAAUCUUGCACAAUGGGGGAAACCCUGAUGCAGCGACGCCGCGUGAGCGAUGAAGCCCUUCGGGGUGUAAAGCUCUUUCGACGGGAACGAUAAUGACGGUACCCGGAGAAGAAGCUGCGGCUAACUACGUGCCAGCAGCCGCGGUAAUACGUAGGCAGCAAGCGUUGUUCGGAGUUACUGGGCGUAAAGAGUGCGUAGGUGGUGCCCUAAGUCUGUUGUGAAAUCUCCCGGCUUAACUGGGAGGGUGCGGUGGAAACUGGGGUGCUUGAGUGUGGGAGAGGUAAGCGGAAUUCCUGGUGUAGCGGUGAAAUGCGUAGAUAUCAGGAGGAACACCGGUGGUGUAGACGGCUUACUGGACCACGACUGACACUGAGGCACGAAAGCGUGGGUAGCAAACAGGAUUAGAUACCCUAGUAGUCC
This 753-nucleotide ribosomal RNA is filed under the name uncultured bacterium. RNAcentral describes it as "bacterial SSU rRNA". It matches the Rfam family "Bacterial small subunit ribosomal RNA", at positions 8 to 796 of the family's 1533-position model. The record is from RNAcentral.